This 310-nucleotide ribosomal RNA is filed under the name Vibrio parahaemolyticus. RNAcentral describes it as "bacterial SSU rRNA". It matches the Rfam family "Bacterial small subunit ribosomal RNA", at positions 1 to 297 of the family's 1533-position model. Lineage: Bacteria; Pseudomonadati; Pseudomonadota; Gammaproteobacteria; Vibrionales; Vibrionaceae. The record is from RNAcentral.
AAAUUGAAGAGUUUGAUCAUGGCUCAGAUUGAACGCUGGCGGCAGGCCUAACACAUGCAAGUCGAGCGGAAACGAGUUAUCUGAACCUUCGGGGAACGAUAACGGCGUCGAGCGGCGGACGGGUGAGUAAUGCCUAGGAAAUUGCCCUGAUGUGGGGGAUAACCAUUGGAAACGAUGGCUAAUACCGCAUAAUGCCUACGGGCCAAAGAGGGGGACCUUCGGGCCUCUCGCGUCAGGAUAUGCCUAGGUGGGAUUAGCUAGUUGGUGAGGUAAGGGCUCACCAAGGCGACGAUCCCUAGCUGGUCUGAGA